Molecule: ribosomal RNA, 404 nt
Filed under: uncultured Bacillota bacterium
Lineage: Bacteria; Bacillati; Bacillota
Description: bacterial SSU rRNA
Rfam family: Bacterial small subunit ribosomal RNA
Source: RNAcentral
AAAGUCUGAUGGAGCAACGCCGCGUGAGUGAUGAAGGUUUUCGGAUCGUAAAACUCUGUUGUAAGGGAAGAACCAGUACGUCAGGCAAUGGACGUACCUUGACGGUACCUUAUUAGAAAGCCACGGCUAACUACGUGCCAGCAGCCGCGGUAAUACGUAGGUGGCGAGCGUUGUCCGGAAUUACUGGGCGUAAAGGGUGUGCAGGCGGAUAUUUAAGUGAGAUGUGAAAGACCCGGGCUUAACCCGGGCAGUGCAUUUCAAACUGGAUAUCUAGAGUGCAGGAGAGGAGAACGGAAUUCCUAGUGUAGCGGUGAAAUGCGUAGAGAUUAGGAAGAACACCAGUGGCGAAGGCGGUUCUCUGGACUGUAACUGACGCUGAGGCACGAAAGCGUGGGUAGCAAACA